Molecule: ribosomal RNA, 524 nt
Filed under: Aspergillus fumigatus
Lineage: Eukaryota; Fungi; Ascomycota; Eurotiomycetes; Eurotiales; Aspergillaceae
Also listed under: 1 other name
Description: eukaryotic LSU rRNA
Rfam family: 5.8S ribosomal RNA (bases 156-309)
Source: RNAcentral
CACCCGUGUCUAUCGUACCUUGUUGCUUCGGCGGGCCCGCCGUUUCGACGGCCGCCGGGGAGGCCUUGCGCCCCCGGGCCCGCGCCCGCCGAAGACCCCAACAUGAACGCUGUUCUGAAAGUAUGCAGUCUGAGUUGAUUAUCGUAAUCAGUUAAAACUUUCAACAACGGAUCUCUUGGUUCCGGCAUCGAUGAAGAACGCAGCGAAAUGCGAUAAGUAAUGUGAAUUGCAGAAUUCAGUGAAUCAUCGAGUCUUUGAACGCACAUUGCGCCCCCUGGUAUUCCGGGGGGCAUGCCUGUCCGAGCGUCAUUGCUGCCCUCAAGCACGGCUUGUGUGUUGGGCCCCCGUCCCCCUCUCCCGGGGGACGGGCCCGAAAGGCAGCGGCGGCACCGCGUCCGGUCCUCGAGCGUAUGGGGCUUUGUCACCUGCUCUGUAGGCCCGGCCGGCGCCAGCCGACACCCAACUUUAUUUUUCUAAGGUUGACCUCGGAUCAGGUAGGGAUACCCGCUGAACUUAAGCAUAUC